Non-coding RNA from Vibrio coralliilyticus, 105 nucleotides. Lineage: Bacteria; Pseudomonadati; Pseudomonadota; Gammaproteobacteria; Vibrionales; Vibrionaceae. The record is from Rfam.
UUUCACCAAGGAUUGUUUUUCUCGCAAUAUUUUUCCUGCGAGAUACGGAAUGGAAUCAAAGUCGCCAACCUAGGCAGGCUGCGAAUCAUAAAAAUAAAGGACUGG